Zingiber officinale is the source of this 1016-nucleotide long non-coding RNA. RefSeq lists it as uncharacterized. NCBI's taxonomy places the organism in Eukaryota, Viridiplantae, Streptophyta, Magnoliopsida, Zingiberales, Zingiberaceae. The transcript is spliced from 2 exons. The record is from RefSeq and is a predicted model, not a curated record.
GCAACCCUUGCCCCCAAACCCUAAUCAAUUUCCUUACCUCCGCCCAAUUCCUCCAUUCUAUAAAUAGAAAGCGGAGGAUCUCUCUCUGCAUCGCCUUUGAGUUCGUCGCUAUCGCCUCCCACAGGUUCUACAUCUACUGGGCUAUCUCCUUCAUCCUUGUCGUGAUGAGUUACUGGUGUGGGCAGUGGCGUUGGCUUUUCAUGGUCAUCACCGUGAGCCUUUUUCACCAAUCAAACGACUUUUCCUUCCACUGAGCGCUCAUUUCCUUUCCAUUUACCUUGAUAAUUUGAGUUUAUACUGAGUUAUUGAUAAAAAAUAGAAGUAUUCUCUCCUGCGUCGAAUAACUGAUUACCAGCGAAUCAUUCCAAUGGUCGCUGCGUAUGAGGCGACGCCAAAUCAUCUUCCUCCGUAUCUGCUCUCUUCAGGCGAGGAACCCCUAUCCUCGAUCCGAUUGUAGAAGCGGGGAUAUUCACUUUCUUUCGACAGUCUUCAGAUCGCCUAUUCAUUCCUUUUUGCUUGUCUUUAAGUUCUAUCCUUGUUCCUCCGGAAAAGAAAGUGAUGAAGAAGAAAGAGCAGAGAGGAUAGAGUUGACUGAAUCUAUAGCACCGGAGGAAGAUUAUUAUUCAGGGCAUCAGUUCUUCAGCCACCAUGAAGCGUGAAGAAUCAAGGUAAGAAUGGGGAUCGGGUCUUCUCCCAACACGAGGGUCGGCGGCGUUACCACUAGGAAUUAGCGGCGGUUGCGGGCCCCUGCUGCAGCUAUGGAUCGGCCGGCGUCGGCGGAGACGCCGGAGGAGGGAGUUGAUAAACUGCGGCGAAUGGAAACGGCUUGGGAUUCCGAAAUAUCUACCAAUGAUUUUAGGGAAUAUUGUAAAUAAGCCCUUAUUUUCUUUAAAAUUUCUAUUUAUACCUCAUUUCCCUCUUUCCAUAUUAAAUACUUUUUUCAAAAAAAGUCCGUAUAUCUUAAACCUUCCAUUGUACUAUAUUUUUUUUACCUAAAAAUAUUAAUAUUCUCAAAA